AACGAACGCUAUCGGUAUGCUUAACACAUGCAAGUCGAACGGACUAAUUGGGGCUUGCUCCAAUUAGUUAGUGGCAGACGGGUGAGUAACACGUGGGAAUCUACCCAUCAGUACGGAAUAACUUUUAGAAAUAAAAGCUAAUACCGUAUAUUCUCUACGGAAGAAAGAUUUAUCGCUGAUGGAUGAGCCCGCGUCAGAUUAGGUAGUUGGUGAGGUAACGGCUCACCAAGCCGACGAUCUGUAGCUGGUCUGAGAGGAUGAUCAGCCACACUGGGACUGAGACACGGCCCAGACUCCUACGGGAGGCAGCAGUGGGGAAUAUUGGACAAUGGGCGAAAGCCUGAUCCAGCAAUACCGAGUGAGUGAUGAAGGCCUUAGGGUUGUAAAGCUCUUUUAGCAAGGAAGAUAAUGACGUUACUUGCAGAAAAAGCCCGGCUAACUCCGUGCCAGCCGCCGCCGUAAC
Molecule: ribosomal RNA, 463 nt
Filed under: uncultured Alphaproteobacteria bacterium
Lineage: Bacteria; Pseudomonadati; Pseudomonadota; Alphaproteobacteria
Description: bacterial SSU rRNA
Rfam family: Bacterial small subunit ribosomal RNA
Source: RNAcentral